UACAGAGGUGGCAAGCGUUGUUCGGAUUUACUGGGCGUAAAGGGUCCGUAGGCGGUUUGGAAAGUUGAAUGUGAAAUCCCGCAGCUCAACUGCGGAACUGCAUUCAAAACUUCCAGACUAGAGUAUGAGAGGGGUUAAGGGAAUUCCCGGUGUAAGGGUGAAAUCUGCAGAGAUCGGGAGGAACACCAGUCGCGAAGGCGCUUAACUGGCUCAUUACUGACGCUCAGGGACGAAAGCUAGGGUAGCAAACGGG
RNAcentral lists this ribosomal RNA (253 nucleotides) under uncultured bacterium. RNAcentral describes it as "partial 16S ribosomal RNA". It matches the Rfam family "Bacterial small subunit ribosomal RNA", at positions 524 to 776 of the family's 1533-position model. The record is from RNAcentral.